This 335-nucleotide unclassified non-coding RNA is filed under the name soil metagenome. RNAcentral describes it as "partial contains 5.8S ribosomal RNA, internal transcribed spacer 2, and large subunit ribosomal RNA". The stretch from base 1 to 120 matches the Rfam family "5.8S ribosomal RNA", at positions 35 to 154 of the family's 154-position model. The record is from RNAcentral.
GAUGAAGAACGUAGCGAAAUGCGAUAAGUAGUGUGAAUUGCAGAAUUCAGUGAAUCAUCGAAUCUUUGAACGCACAUUGCGCCCCCUGGUAUUCCGGGGGGCAUGCCUGUCCGAGCGUCAUUGCAACCCUCAAGCGCGGCUUGCGUGUUGGGCGCCGUCCCCCGUGGACGCGCCCGAAAGGCAGUGGCGGUACCGUGCUCCGGUGCCCGAGCGUAUGGGCUUAAAACCCGCUCUUGUGGCCCGGCCGGCGCUGGCCUCGACCCCCAACUUUACAAGGUUGACCUCGGAUCAGGUAGGGAUACCCGCUGAACUUAAGCAUAUCAAUAAGCGGAGGA